UCCGUAGGCGGGCAAUUAAGUCAGAGGUGAAAUCCCACAGCUCAACUGUGGAACUGCCUUUGAUACUGGUUGCCUUGAGUUACAGUGAAGUAGAUAGAAUAUGUAGUGUAGCGGUGAAAUGCAUAGAUAUUACAUAGAAUACCGAUUGCGAAGGCAGUCUACUAACUGUAUACUGACGCUAAUGGACGAAAGCGUGGGGAGCGAACAGGAUUAGAUACCCUGGUAGUCC
This 229-nucleotide ribosomal RNA is filed under the name uncultured bacterium. RNAcentral describes it as "partial 16S ribosomal RNA". It matches the Rfam family "Bacterial small subunit ribosomal RNA", at positions 568 to 796 of the family's 1533-position model. The record is from RNAcentral.